AAUUAACACAAUGGAAGGAAAUGCUACCUAGGAAAAGGACACAAUAUCAACUAAAUAAAGGUAAAUAAAAUUAAAAAUGAAUAAGGAUAAAUUCACAAAUUGCAAUUACUUAUAUAUAGGAGUGUCAAAAUGGGUCAAAAUUCAUGGGUCAACUCAACUCAACUCAACUCAUGAACCCUAAUGAGUUGAAAAUUUUGACUCAAAUGAGUUGAUGGGUCAAAUGAGUUGAUGAGUCAAUUGGUUUGGUGAGUCAAUUGAGUUGGGUUGUAAUGGUUAAUGGUUUCAAUGGUUUACCCAAUUAACCCAUCAAGGUUUGUUAAAUUGAAUUAAACCAACUAAAAUCUCUAAACCGAUGUCAAUUUAAGUUUAACCAACACAUCUAAACCAAUUUAAUAAAAUUA
This 401-nucleotide small RNA is filed under the name Arabidopsis thaliana (thale cress). RNAcentral's name for it is "ATSL015320". The record is from RNAcentral. Lineage: Eukaryota; Viridiplantae; Streptophyta; Magnoliopsida; Brassicales; Brassicaceae.